RNAcentral lists this ribosomal RNA (292 nucleotides) under uncultured bacterium. RNAcentral's name for it is "partial 16S ribosomal RNA". It matches the Rfam family "Bacterial small subunit ribosomal RNA", at positions 505 to 796 of the family's 1533-position model. The record is from RNAcentral.
GUGCCAGCAGCCGCGGUAAUACAGAGGGGGCAAGCGUUAUUCGGAAUUAUUGGGCGUAAAGGGCGCGUAGGCGGCUUUUUAAGUCAGAUGUGUAAUCCCCGAGCUCAACUUGGGAACUGCAUCUGAGACUGGAAGGCUAGAGUGCUGGAGAGGGUGGUGGAAUUCCUCGUGUAGCGGUGAAAUGCGUAGAGAUGAGGAGGAACACCAGUGGCGAAGGCGGCCACCUGGACAGUAACUGACGCUGAGGCGCGAAAGUGUGGGUAGCAAACAGGAUUAGAUACCCUGGUAGUCC